This 203-nucleotide long non-coding RNA is filed under the name Mytilus galloprovincialis (Mediterranean mussel). Lineage: Eukaryota; Metazoa; Mollusca; Bivalvia; Mytilida; Mytilidae. The record is from RNAcentral.
CGGGUGGUGCAACUGCAGCUGCUAAGUCUAAUGUAAAUGAAAGAUGAAUAAAGCGACAUGGGAGGUGGAAGACAGAUUUUGUCAAAGAUGGUUAUAUCAAAGAUACUUUAGAAAAGAGAAUUUCAGUCUCACAAAAAUUGGGUAUUUAAUAUAUAUAUUUUUUUUACUACACUCCAACCCUUUAUUUGGUAUUUCUAUGCUUG